Molecule: ribosomal RNA, 800 nt
Filed under: uncultured bacterium
Lineage: Bacteria
Description: bacterial SSU rRNA
Rfam family: Bacterial small subunit ribosomal RNA
Source: RNAcentral
AGAGUUUGAUCAUGGCUCAGGAUGAACGCUGGCGGCGUGCUUAACACAUGCAAGUCGAACGGACUUUUAUUGAAACCUGGUGAUAUGAAAGUUAGUGGCGGACGGGUGAGUAACGCGUGGGUAACCUGCCGUAUACAGGGGGAUAACACUUAGAAAUAGGUGCUAAAACCGCAUAAGCGCACAGCUUCGCAUGAAGCAGUGUGAAAAACUCCGGUGGUAUACGAUGGACCCGCAUCUGAUUAGCCAGUUGGCAGGGUAACGGCCUACCAAAGCGACGAUCAGUAGCCGGCCUGAGAGGGUGAACGGCCACAUUGGGACUGAGACACGGCCCAAACUCCUACGGGAGGCAGCAGUGGGGAAUAUUGCACAAUGGGGGAAACCCUGAUGCAGCGACGCCGCGUGAGUGAAGAAGUAUUUCGGUAUGUAAAGCUCUAUCAGCAGGGAAGAAAAUGACGGUACCUGAGAAAGAAGCCCCGGCUAACUACGUGCCAGCAGCCGCGGUAAUACGUAGGGGGCAAGCGUUAUCCGGAAUUACUGGGUGUAAAGGGAGCGUAGACGGUUGUGCAAGUCUGGAGUGAAAUGCGGGGGCUCAACCCCUGAGCUGCUUUGGAAACUGUGUAACUGGAGUGCAGGAGAGGUAAGUGGAAUUCCUAGUGUAGCGGUGAAAUGCGUAGAUAUUAGGAGGAACACCAGUGGCGAAGGCGGCUUACUGGACUGUAACUGACGUCGAGGCUCGAAAGCGUGGGGAGCAAACAGGAUUAGAUACCCUGGUAGUCCACGCCGUAAACGAUGAUUACCAG